This 305-nucleotide ribosomal RNA is filed under the name uncultured bacterium. RNAcentral describes it as "bacterial SSU rRNA". It matches the Rfam family "Bacterial small subunit ribosomal RNA", at positions 334 to 656 of the family's 1533-position model. The record is from RNAcentral.
UUUACCUACGGGAGGCAGCAGUAGGGAAUCUUUCACAAUGGGCGAAAGCCUGAUGGAGCAACGCCGCGUGCAGGAUGAAGGCCUUCGGGUUGUAAACUGCUUUUAUAAGCGAGAAAUAUGAUGGUAACUUAUGAAUAAGGAUCGGCUAACUACGUGCCAGCAGCCGCGGUCAUACGUAGGAUCCGAGCGUUAUCCGGAUUUACUGGGUGUAAAGGGUGCGUAGGUGGCAGGGCAAGUCAGAUGUGAAAGCCCGGGGCUCAACCCCGGUACUGCAUUUGAAACUGUCCAGCUGGAGUGCAGGAGAG